UCCUCCUCCUUCUUCUCCUCCUCCUCCUCUUCGCCCUCCCACUCCCACCCCCAACCAAGGCCUGCUGACCGCGCCGAGCUGGACAGACCACCGCUGCUGGGAGACGGGAGAGGAAGCAGCCGGCCCUCCCCUGGGUUCGCGCUCCCGCCGACUCUGAGGGAAUUGAAUUGAGGCGCCGCGGCUGCGGGAGCUGAAAAGGAAGGAGGAGCCGUCGCGGGACUGAGACGGGGGCAGAGCCGAAGAGACCAACACAGAGAAGGAAACGAGGAGGAGGAUGUCUCACUGGGCGGCCAGCGCCUGGAUCAGCCCGUGACUGUUACAGCGGCGGGCCUCAGACCCCAGCGCAGACUCGGACUUUGUCUUUGGGGGCCGGUGUUCUGCCCUCCCCGGUUUCUGGCAGGAUCCAGAGGAGCCGGCGUGCCUCUCUGCCCUCCAGCCUUCUUCACCAUGUCCAAGAUGCCGGCCAAGAAGAAGAGCUGCUUCCAGAUCACCAGUGUCACCACGGCCCAGGUGGCCACUAGCAUCACCGAGGACACCGAGAGCUUGGACGACCCGGACGAGUCACGCACAGAGGACGUCUCCUCCGAGAUUUUCGACGUCUCUCGGGCCACGGAUUAUGGCCCUGAGGAGGUCUGCGAGCGCAGCUCCUCCGAAGAGACACUUAACAAUGUUGGGGAUACGGAGACUCCCGGGACCGUCUCCCCAAACCUCCUUCUGGAUGGGCAGCUGGCAGCGGCGGCGGCUGCUCCCGCCAACGGAGGAGUCGUCGUUUCCACCCGGAGCGUGGCUGGGGCGCUUGCCAGUACCCUGGUGGCGGCCGCCACUUCGUCCCCCGCCUCCGGAGCACCCGGCGGCCCCCAGGUCGCGGGCUCAUCCGCUGGGCCAGUGACUGCAACCCCAUCUCAGCCUCCCACCACUUGUAGUUCCCGUUUUCGUGUGAUCAAGCUGGACCACGGGAGCGGAGAGCCCUAUCGACGCGGCCGAUGGACGUGUAUGGAAUACUAUGAGAGGGAUUCAGACAGCAGCGUCCUGACUAGAUCCGGGGAUUGCAUUAGACACAGCAAUACUUUUGACCAGACUGCAGAGCGGGACAGCGGCUUGGGAGCCACGGGAGGGUCGGUGGUGGUAGUGGUGGCUUCCAUGCAGGGGGCGCACGGGCCCGACUCGGGAACUGACAGCUCCUUGACUGCUGUGUCACAGCUACCCCCGUCGGAGAAAAUGAGCCAGCCCACUCUGGCCCAGCCGCAGAGUUUUAGCGUUGGGCAGCCACAGCCGCCGCCGCCACCCGUAGGUGGGGCUGUGGCUCAGAGCUCGGCUCCGCUGCCGCCGUUCCCGGGAGCCGCGACCGGGCCACAGCCGAUGAUGGCAGCCUCGCAGCCAAGCCAGCCCCAGGGAACGGGGCCCGGAGGACAGACUUUGCCGCCGACGAAUGUAACCCUGACGCAGCCGGCUAUGCCCCUGCCUCCGCAGCCCGGCCCGGCUGUCGGCGCUUCUGCGACGCCGCAGCCCCAGCAGUUCGCGUAUCCUCAGCCUCAGAUACCGCCCGGACAUUUGCUGCCCGUCCAGCCAUCCGGCCAGAGUGAGUACCUGCAGCAGCACGUGGCCGGCCUGCAACCGCCAAGCCCCGCACAGCCCUCGUCCACUGGCGCCGGAGCGAGCCCCGCCACGGCGGCCAGCCUUUCCGUGGGCACCGGCCAGAAUGCCUCUUCGGUGGGCGCGCAGCUCCUGGGCGCGUCUUCCCAGCCCAACGAAGCGGUGCCCCCCCGGCCGGGACCAGCGCAAGGCGGGCAGGUCGCGCCGUGUCAGGCGGCUGGAGUGUCCCCAGCUGCUGUGGGAGGCGUGGUGCAGGCUGGCAUGGGUUCUGCCGGGGCUGGGCAGCCCCAGUCCGUGCCUCCGCCGCAGAUGGGUGGCAGUGGUCCGCUGUCAGCCGUACCUGGUGGCCCUCACGCCGUGGUGCCCGGAGUCCCAAACGUGCCUGCAGCCGCGCCCGCUCCAAGCGUGCCUGGUGUGUCUACCACUUCUGUUACUAUGCCAAAUGUACCCGCGCCUCUGGCCCAGUCGCAACAGCUGAGCAGCCAUACGCCAGUCAGCAGGAGCAGCAGCAUAAUCCAGCACGUUGGGCCGCCCUUAGCGCAAGGAGCACACAGUGCACCAACAAGUCUACCACAGUCUGACCUAAGCCAGUUUCAGACUCAAACCCAGCCUUUAGUCGGGCAAGUCGACGAUACUAGAAGAAAAUCAGAACCCCUACCUCAACCACCACUUUCUCUCAUUGCUGAAAAUAAGCCUGUUGUGAAGCCGCCUGUUGCAGAUGCCCUGACAAACCCCCUUCAGUUAACACCUAUGAACAGUCUGGCCACCUCUGUAUUCAGCAUAGCUAUUCCUGUUGAUGGCGAUGAAGACAGGAAUCCUUCAACUGCUUUCUACCAAGCGUUCCAUUUGAACACGUUUCAGGAAUCAAAGAGCCUCUGGGAUAGGUAUGAAUACUUACAUAAGGAAUGCAUACAUGCAAAACUGUAUGCAUGAAUUGCUUUGCACUGUACUGGUUUCUCGUCAUUAAAACUGAUAUUUGUUAUUUUAGGGGGGAUUCACAUGGUAUCUAGCAUGGGACAAAGCAGCAAAAUAAACCAAAAGGACAAUCUAUAUAGAAAAUAAACAUACUUUUCUUUUUUCUGCAUCCUGUGUACUUUAUUUCUAUAUUUUUGAAGGGUUCACAUUGUGUUGAAUUUUUGAUAUGAAAUAGUCACUUCCCCAGUGUAUUUUAAUGCAAAUGCAUAUUCUAUAAAAUAAACUAUCUACAGUUACUUUAAUUUUUGUGCCAUUUUAUGUUUUUUCUAUAAAAGCCAUAGUGAUUCAAAGCAAAAUGUUAUUUCAAAUUAUGAAAUUGGAGGAGGAACAAGACUAAGGUAUCAAAGUAAUUGUUGUUUAAUUUUUGGCAAGAAACUUUAACUUCAAAUUUGUUUGCUAGAACUCACUAGGUCUGCAUUACUGAUUUGUAAGCCCCUGCAAAGUUUGCUUUCUUACAGAAAUGCUAUAUAGAUUUUAUUGUUAACUCUUAAAAAUACAAAAUGAAGUCUUGGAGAUCUUUUAUGGCAAAAGAUACUUUGGUUUAUCUUUCUGCUUAACACACAUUUUAAGUAGUGUAUGCUCUGUUCAGUCAUUUUGCUGAAUAUUUAUUAGCACUCCAUCAUUUUAUGUUUAAUUAAUAGAAGUUGAGCUCAAACAAUGUUUUUAAAAUUCACACAAAGCUUGUUAGAUUCUUUUAACUCUGCCUGGCAACGCGUUUGUGUCUUCUGGCAUAGUUUUGGAUAACACUCAUGAACUCAACUCCAUCUCUUUCAUUAGAAAAGAGUAUUGCUAAGUGCAUGUACAUGUCAUAUUAAGACAUGAUACAUAUUGCCUAGAAAUGCUAAAACAGUCUAAUUCUUUGGCUUGAUUUGCUUGUGUGUGUCACUCUAGGGAAAUUUUCUAACAGUAUCUUUUUGAUAGUAUGUUCCAGAAAUGUUUUUAAAGAGUUACUUUUACAAUAGGAAGUUUUAAAAUGUGUAGUACCAUGUUUAUAAAACAAAUUUUUAAAUAGUUCUUCCCUAGCCAUUUAAAUUAAUACAUAAAUGUAAAUUGUGACAUGAAAUAAACAUGAAGGUUUAAUCAUUCAAAUAGUUUUCCAAAUGAAGCCAGAAUGUGAGUACUUUGGGGUAUGCUUUAUAGUUUCCCUUAGAAAAAGGAAAAAUAGCCCUGUAUUUAGAAAUGUAGUAAGAGUAGUUUUCAAAUGUAUGGUAAUUUAUUUCACAUAGCUAAUUUGUGAGCUGUCAUGGUUUCGAUAUGAAUGAUAUAUUAUUUUUAUCAGCGUAGAAAGGUUUGAGCUAUAUUUUUAAUAAUUUGAAUCUAGUAUUAAAAGGUUUGUUUCAUAAUAAAACAACUAUAGAAGUUGCCAGCACAUCAUUUGUUGUUACAGCUAAAUACUCCUUAUCUGUUUUCUUUUUUUAGAUACCAGAAACUUUUAAGGUAUCAGAAAUGAGGCAAGUUGCUGUAUCUAUAGUUUCUCAUGGGUUGAAAAUAUUUUCUCAUCUCCUUGGAGCCUGUUGUCCAGAGCCAAAGAAGUUAGUGAAUAUCUGUCUGUAGUGUGUUAAUGCCAAAAUAUAAUCAAAUAUAAUCAAAAUAUCAGGUCAGCCAUUCUUCACUGUAAAUUGGCAUUGCGGGUACUAAGGUGACAAGCCCAACCUAAUAGAAACUGACUAGUGGCUUCCUUUUAACUUUUCAACUAACUUACUAAAUUUUCCACUGAGAGGAGCAAUCAUAGCUAACUUUAUUAGUUUUAAUAAUCUAUACUUUCAGUUGGCAAAUAUCUACAGAAUUAUUGAUAGGUAUAUCAGUUAAUAAAGUAUCAUGAGACCAUUUAUUCCUUGCAAACGGGUUGAAGAUUUGUGUAUGUUAAGCUAUAAAAAAUAUUAAAUAUAACUUCUGACUUUGUUUGUUUUGGACAUCGCCAAAUUACAUUGUUCAUUUUUUACUAUUAUAAAUUUAGGAUUUUUUUUUACUUUGCUACGAAUUUGGCAAACAGGUGUUUUGCAAGGAUGAUUCUUCUAUUAAAGAGAGACAUGGGCCGGCAUGGUGGCUUACGACUGUAAUCCUGGCACUUUGGGAGGCUGAGACAGGUAGAUCACCUGAGGUCAGGAGUUUUGAGACCAGCCUGCCAACAUGGUGAAACCCAUCUAUACUACAAAUACAAAAAUUAGCUGGGCGAAUUGGCAUGUCCCUGUAAUCUCAAGCUAUUUGCGAUGCUGAGGCAGGAGAAUCACUUGAACCUAGGAGGCAGAGGUUGCAGUGAGCCGAAAUUGCUCCAUUGCACUCCAGCCUGGGUGACAGAGCGAGACUCCCUCUC
Molecule: RNA transcript, 4882 nt
Organism: Sapajus apella (tufted capuchin)
Lineage: Eukaryota; Metazoa; Chordata; Mammalia; Primates; Cebidae
Gene: TSC22D2
Gene name: TSC22 domain family member 2
Exons: 3
Source: RefSeq, a predicted model, not a curated record